CAGUCGCCACGGGAAUACAGAGGGUGCAAGCGUUAAUCGGAAUUACUGGGCGUAAAGCGCGCGUAGGUGGUUUGUUAAGUUGGAUGUGAAAGCCCCGGGCUCAACCUGGGAACUGCAUCCAAAACUGGCAAGCUAGAGUACGGUAGAGGGUGGUGGAAUUUCCUGUGUAGCGGUGAAAUGCGUAGAUAUAGGAAGGAACACCAGUGGCGAAGGCGACCACCUGGACUGAUACUGACACUGAGGUGCGAAAGCGUGGGGAGCAAACAGGAUUAGAUACCCCCGUAGUCCCUGUCUCUUAUAA
Molecule: ribosomal RNA, 301 nt
Filed under: uncultured bacterium
Lineage: Bacteria
Description: partial 16S ribosomal RNA
Rfam family: Bacterial small subunit ribosomal RNA
Source: RNAcentral